UCUAGCUCUUCAAUCCUGUCCUCUAUUCAGUGUUUCCGCGUCUUUUCUUAUCAAAUCUUCCCACCUCAAUCGUGGUCUUCCCAGUGGUCUCUUACCAACUGGGUUCUUGUCCUUGAUCAACCCUGGUUAGUGGCGGGUUUAGUUUGUCUUCUAAGGGGGGGGGGAAUAUUUAAAUAACAUGACCAGACGUCAGUCAGUCAAUAUGACCCCUGACCGCUUAAUGUGACAGCACAGCUAUCUGCAUAGGCUGUGAUUAUAAUUUCUUAACACUCUAAACUUCUAUACACAUUUCUGAAAGAAAUUAUUAUUUAUAGAUAGUUUGAUGUCUGGGGGCCCUAUGCUCCCCUCAGUAGUAUCAAUAUGCC
This is a non-coding RNA of Cinara cedri, 365 nucleotides long. Lineage: Eukaryota; Metazoa; Arthropoda; Insecta; Hemiptera; Aphididae. The record is from the annotation of a GenBank genome assembly.